AGAGUUUGAUCCUGGCUCAGAAUCAACGCUGGCGGCGUGCCUAACACAUGCAAGUCGAACGAGAAAGUGGAGCAAUCCAUGAGUAAAGUGGCGACCGGGUGAGUAACACGUGACUAACCUACCCUAAAGUGGGGGAUAACCCCGGGAAACCGGGGCUAAUACCGCAUAACAUCGCGAGGGGAAGAUCCUUGUGAUCAAAGGAGCAAUUCGCUGAAGGAGGGGGUCGCGGCUGAUUAGCUAGUUGGUGAGGUAACGGCCCACCAAGGCAAAGAUCAGUAUCCGGCCUGAGAGGGCGCACGGACACACUGGAACUGAAACACGGUCCAGACUCCUACGGGAGGCAGCAGUGGGGAAUUUUGCGCAAUGGGGGAAACCCUGACGCAGCAACGCCGCGUGGAGGAUGAAGUCCCUUGGGAUGUAAACUCCUUUCGAUCGGGACGAUUAUGACGGUACCGGAAGAAGAAGCACCGGCUAACUCUGUGCCAGCCGCCGCGGUAAUAC
Molecule: ribosomal RNA, 501 nt
Filed under: uncultured bacterium
Lineage: Bacteria
Description: bacterial SSU rRNA
Rfam family: Bacterial small subunit ribosomal RNA
Source: RNAcentral